AGCAGCCGCGGUAAUUCCAGCUCCAAUAGCGUAUAUUAAAGUUGUUGCAGUUAAAAGCUCGUAGUUGAAUUUCGGGAUUCAUCCGUUGGUCGGGCUUCACGGUCCGUACUGGUGUGAUGGGUUCCUACCUUCUGAAUAACCGGCAUGCCAUUAAUUUGGUGCGCCGGGGAAGCAGAACUAUUACCUUGAAAAAUUAGAGUGCUUAAAGCAGGCAAGUGCCUGAAUAGGUUAGCAUGGAAUAAUAAAAUAGGACGGCAUGGUUCUAUUUUGUUGGUUUCUAGGAUCACCGUAAUGAUUAAUAGGGAUAGUUGGGGGCAUUAGUAUUCAAUUGUCAGAGGUGAAAUUCUUGGAUUUAUUGAAGACUAACUUCUGCGAAAGCAUUUGCCAAGGAUGUUUUCAUUAAUCAAGAACGAAAGUUAGGGGAUCGAAGACGAUCAGAUACCGUCGUAGUCUUAACCAUAAACUAUGCCGACUAGGGAUCGGACGAUGUUAAUUUUUUAAUGACUCGUUCGGCGCCUUACGGGAAACCAAAGUGUUUGGG
RNAcentral lists this ribosomal RNA (541 nucleotides) under uncultured Glomeromycotina. Its description in RNAcentral is "SSU rRNA". It matches the Rfam family "Eukaryotic small subunit ribosomal RNA", at positions 569 to 1111 of the family's 1831-position model. Lineage: Eukaryota; Fungi; Glomeromycota. The record is from RNAcentral.